The sequence is a non-coding RNA, 157 nucleotides long. It matches the Rfam family "6S / SsrS RNA". From Rfam's summary of the family: E. coli 6S RNA was the first non coding RNA to be sequenced, but its function was unknown until recently. It consists of 184 nucleotides that fold into an extended hairpin structure with a large single-stranded internal bulge.
GCGGGGCUGCCCGGCACGUGAGGCAUGUCAUACCCCUGGGCCGAUAAGCACUUCCUUGGGAGCUGGCUCUGUUGUGGCCCUGGCCACAUUAUCUGGUGCCCACCUGCACUCGCAGGUCCUGGAGGUUGAAAAGACCCACGGCCAUGGCGGCUCCGCA